CGCGGGGUAGAGUAGAGGAAACUCACGAGCUUCAUAAGCUCGGACCGUGGGUUCGAAUCCCACCCCCGCUACCA
RNAcentral lists this transfer RNA (74 nucleotides) under subsurface metagenome. Its description in RNAcentral is "tRNA-Met". It matches the Rfam family "tRNA". Rfam says of the family: Transfer RNA (tRNA) molecules are approximately 80 nucleotides in length. Their secondary structure includes four short double-helical elements and three loops (D, anti-codon, and T loops). The record is from RNAcentral.